GAUGAACGCUGGCGGCGUGCUUAACACAUGCAAGUCGAACGGAAAGACCCAAGCUUGCUUGGGUACUCGAGUGGCGAACGGGUGAGUAACACGUGGGUGAUCUGCCCUGCACUUCGUGAUAAGCCUGGGAAACUGGGUCUAAUACCGGAUAGGACGAUGGUUUGGAUGCGAUUGUGGACAGUUUUUUCGGUGUGGGAUGAGCUCGCGGCCUAUCAGCUUGUUUGUGGCGUAAUGGCCUAACAAGGCGUCGACGUGUAGCCGGCAUGAGAGAGUGUACUGCCACAUUAGGACUGAGAGAGAGGCAAGAGUCCUACAGGAGGCAGCAGGGGCGAAUAUUGGACAAUGCGAGCAAGCCUGAUGCAGCAAGGCCGCGUGAGGGAUGACGGCCUUAGGGUUGUAGAAACCUUUCGAUAGGGACGAAGCGUUUUUGUGACGGUACCUGGAGAAGAAGCACCGGCUAACUACGUG
RNAcentral lists this ribosomal RNA (468 nucleotides) under uncultured bacterium. Its description in RNAcentral is "partial 16S ribosomal RNA". It matches the Rfam family "Bacterial small subunit ribosomal RNA", at positions 28 to 507 of the family's 1533-position model. The record is from RNAcentral.